RNAcentral lists this ribosomal RNA (586 nucleotides) under uncultured bacterium. Its description in RNAcentral is "partial 16S ribosomal RNA". It matches the Rfam family "Bacterial small subunit ribosomal RNA", at positions 355 to 1375 of the family's 1533-position model. The record is from RNAcentral.
UGGGGAAUUUUGGACAAUGGGCGAAAGCCUGAUCCAGCAAUGCCGCGUGUGUGAAGAAGGCCUUCGGGUUGUAAAGCACUUUUGUCCGGAAAGAAAUCCUUGGCUCUAAUACAGUCGGGGGAUGACGGUACCGGAAGAAUAAGCACCGGCUAACUACGUGCCAGCAGCCGCGGUAAUACGUAGGGUGCAAGCGUUAAUCGGAAUUACUGGGCGUAAAGCGUGCGCAGGCGGUUUGCUAAGACCGAUGUGAAAUCCCCGGGCUCAACCUGGGAACUGCAUUGGUGACUGGCAGGCUAGAGUAUGGCAGAGGGGGGUAGAUUCCACGUGUAGCAGUGAAAUGCGUAGAGAUGUGGAGGAAUACCGAUGGCGAAGGCAGCCCCCUGGGCCAAAUACUGACGCUCAUGCACGAAAGCGUGGGGAGCAAACAGGAUUAGAUACCCUGGUAGUCCACGCCCUAAACGAUGUCAACUAGUUGUUGGGGAUUCAUUUCCUUAGUAACGUAGCUAACGCGUGAAGUUGACCGCCUGGGGAGUACGGUCGCAAAGAUUAAAACUCAAAGGAAUUGACGGGGUCAUAGCUGUUUCCU